Molecule: long non-coding RNA, 1016 nt
Filed under: Arabidopsis thaliana (thale cress)
Lineage: Eukaryota; Viridiplantae; Streptophyta; Magnoliopsida; Brassicales; Brassicaceae
Description: ncRNA (AT5G00780)
Source: RNAcentral
CAAAGACAUAUAAAUGAAAAGUUUUCUUUCUCCUUUGAUCUUGAAAGUUAUUAGCUUAAUUUAUAGGACUAACCUCUUGAAGUGGUAGGUUAUUCACAACCACCCAUGGUACAAAUCUAUGUGCUGGAUAAAGUUCAGAAGUUUCUUCAGCAUACCUCUGUUCAAGCUGCACAUUGUCACAUAGAUGUCAUUUUUUCUUGCUUAUUAUAUGUUUAGCUUUCCUGUUGUGGCUGUAUAAGUUAACUAAUGUUCUCUCCUCUGAGCAGGAUUUACCUGGUUUCCGUAUCCGUUAAUGUAACAAUCAACCGCUGCUCUGCUCAAUCCAACCAUUUCUAAACAAUCAGCCCAUUUUUCAAGUUUGUUCUCCAAGACUAGCUGUUCCGUACAGUAGAUGUAUCCAAAAUGCUUCAUCUGCAAGUGACAUAGGCAGAGCACAUAUAAUUCACAUUAACAGUCAAAGCCUCUAUAUGGCAUGAAUUGCGUUGAGCGCACACUCAGCUUCUCCGUGCUGAAAACAAAGCAACAGUCAAAUGCUAUGUCCUAAUUCUAUGAUGUACAAUGCAAGUGAGACAUAGCAAGAAGAGUCCAAGACCUGGCAGAGAAUGGUUCCAUCUGGUCUGAUAGCGGCGUUGCCCCAUGGAACGAGCUGGAGAUCAAUGGAUGAGAUUAAGCCGGUUUCGAAGAUCUUAGGCAAGCGGUUGACGAUGAAUUCUGCACAGAAGGGGCAUAGAGCUUCGUAGUAUAAACUUAGUGUAACUUUCUGGCUUGAAGACAGAGAUAAGAGGCAGAAGAAGAUUGUGCAACUUGUGAUGCAAAGCCUCUGAUAUGAUGCCAUUGGUGGAAACAAGAAGAAGAGGAAGAUUGCAGAGAAUUGUUUUUGACUCUUGCUUUAUUCUUGUGUCUCAUUAAACAAGGAAAGUAAGACAUAAAACUGUUUCUUAUUACUUUCAGUGAUUCGUUGAUGCUUUAUUAUUGUUUAAAGGCAUCUUGGGCGUUUUGGCGUUGAAACAAUUGUU